Molecule: ribosomal RNA, 390 nt
Filed under: uncultured bacterium
Lineage: Bacteria
Description: bacterial SSU rRNA
Rfam family: Bacterial small subunit ribosomal RNA
Source: RNAcentral
AUUGAACGCUGGCGGCAUGCCUUACACAUGCAAGUCGAACGGCAGCGGACCUUCGGGUGCCGGCGAGUGGCGAACGGGUGAGUAAUAUAUCGGAACGUACCUUUCAGUGGGGGAUAACGUAGCGAAAGUUACGCUAAUACCGCAUAUUCUGUGAGCAGGAAAGCAGGGGAUCGCAAGACCUUGCGCUGAUUGAGCGGCCGAUAUCAGAUUAGCUAGUUGGUGAGGUAAAGGCUCACCAAGGCGACGAUCUGUAGCGGGUCUGAGAGGAUGAUCCGCCACACUGGAACUGAGACACGGUCCAGACUCCUACAGGAGGCAGCAGUGGGGAAUUUUGGACAAUGGGCGCAAGCCUGAUCCAGCCAUGCCGCGUGAGUGAAGAAGGCCUCGGUG